Molecule: long non-coding RNA, 229 nt
Filed under: Ananas comosus (pineapple)
Lineage: Eukaryota; Viridiplantae; Streptophyta; Magnoliopsida; Poales; Bromeliaceae
Description: long non-coding RNA (ACOM_LNC020770)
Source: RNAcentral
CAACAUUUUACAUAUUUUUCAACCCAAAAAGAGAUAAUAUAAUAUUGUUUCAUUUCUUCCCAAAUACUUGCAUACAAUUCGAUCCAAAAUAAAACCAUAAACGUACUUUAUGCUUCCCAAAGUUACAACACUACGACGUGAUACUUUUACCUUGGUCGCGCUGACGUGCCUCUCCAACAAUGGUUGGACCUAGAUGUGAAAAAUAUUUAAACAAUGUGGGCGAGAAUUA